GUGAGUCAGGAGUACAUGUUGAACCUGUGUCAGCAACUGCUGAAUGUCCAAGUAUUGGUCCAAGCGUGGCAGACACCCAUGUUCAAAACUUGUGCUCCAC
Molecule: long non-coding RNA, 100 nt
Organism: Ornithodoros turicata
Lineage: Eukaryota; Metazoa; Arthropoda; Arachnida; Ixodida; Argasidae
Exons: 3
Source: RefSeq, a predicted model, not a curated record